Molecule: non-coding RNA, 930 nt
Organism: Ictidomys tridecemlineatus (thirteen-lined ground squirrel)
Lineage: Eukaryota; Metazoa; Chordata; Mammalia; Rodentia; Sciuridae
Source: RefSeq, a predicted model, not a curated record
CCAUCCAUUUUCAGGGAGAUUUUUGUAAGAUAUUUUGGUGUAAUUCAGAUUUUCUUUUUUUCCUUGAAUGGGAGAAUGGAGAAGAAAAAUGAGAGGUAUGCCAAACACAGAGACUGCUGUUUACUUUCUUCUGCAGAUUCAUGUAAUUGGGAAACAGCAGUUACCUAGACUUUGUCUACUCCCAGACCUGGGUGCAUAACAAAAAUUCCAGUGGUUACAUCUGCAGCAGCAGGCAUGCCCAAGACCUUUGAGGGCAUUUGUCUCUGAUCUCCCGUUUCCACACUGACCCAUCUAUGUGGAAGCAUCCAGUAUAGCCUGGUCCAAUGGAGUGCCCUACUGAAUUGCUUUCUCUUAUAUUGCCUUAAGAUUUUGUCCACUAAUUUCACAGAGAGUAUAUUUGUUUGUAUUUUCAGUUCAAAGAUUUAGCCAUUUACUUCUCUCAGAAGGAGUGGGAAUGUUUGCACUCUGAACAGAAGAAUCUAUACAAAGAUGUAAUGUUGGAGAAUUACAACAAUUUGACCUCACUAGGACUUUCUGAAACUAAGCCAAGUGUGAUCUCCUUAUUGGAGCAGGGGAAGGAGCCCUGGAUGGUUAAGAGGAAGAAGGCAAAAGAAUGGUAUUCAGAUUGGGAGUCCAGAAGAAAAACCAAGACUUUAUCUCGAGAGAACAGUUAUGAAAUUAAAUCAUUACAUCAGCAGAUAACAAAAAAACGUUCCAACCUUGAAUUCAACAGGGUCAGAGAUAGCAGAGAAAUCAAAUGCCACUUGGAGAGACAGCAGGGGCAUAAAGAGGUACAAGUCAAACAAGCCAAAAUGACCACUAAAAAACGGCCCCCUGCAGUUGAGUGCAUAGCCCCUGGAGAAUAUCAUAGAGCUCAUACUGGAGAAAAAUCCUGUGAAUGUCAGAAAUGUAAGAAAGCUUCUGGGAGCC